UCAGCGACAUCGACUAGUUACAGAUAACAGACACAGAAAGAGGUAAGCGCUAAAGUACAGUCAUUAAAUUGGAAUGGAAAACAUUGCAACUCACGGACUUUCUCUUGCAUCAGUUGCGUCGAUCUCAAGAAAGAAGUCGCUAACGUUAAAACUAAGACCGAGUCGAAUAACUUGGUUUUAUCUGAUAUACCAAAAAUGAAUGGAUUAUUGGACGGUCAAUUAUUAACGAUAGUCGAAUUAAUGAAAGGGAUCGAUCAAAAGUUUAGCAGUAUGCAAACAGAAAUCGGCAGCUUAAGAAGGGAAAUGCACGAAAUGAAGCAGAAAAAUAACUUGAUUUGACUGUAUUUCGUGUAUGUUCUUCAUUGAGUUCUAUAAAGAACUCUUCACGUUGCAACUUUAUUAGUUAUAGUUGGUUGAAAACUUCAAAAUACAAAAAAUUUACGCAGUUGCUUUUGAAA
Long non-coding RNA from Xenia sp. Carnegie-2017, 458 nucleotides. RefSeq lists it as uncharacterized. The transcript is spliced from 2 exons. NCBI's taxonomy places the organism in Eukaryota, Metazoa, Cnidaria, Anthozoa, Malacalcyonacea, Xeniidae. The record is from RefSeq and is a predicted model, not a curated record.